RNAcentral lists this ribosomal RNA (497 nucleotides) under uncultured bacterium. RNAcentral describes it as "partial 16S ribosomal RNA". It matches the Rfam family "Bacterial small subunit ribosomal RNA", at positions 28 to 507 of the family's 1533-position model. The record is from RNAcentral.
GAUGAACGCUGGCGGCGUGCCUAAUACAUGCAAGUCGAGCGAACGGACGAGAAGCUUGCUUCUCUGAUGUUAGCGGCGGACGGGUGAGUAAUACGUGGAUAACCUACCUAUAAGACUGGGAUAACUUCGGGAAACCGUAGCUAAUACCGGAUAAUAUUUUGAACCGCAUGGUUCAAAAGUGAAAGACGGUCUUGCUGUCACUUAUAGAUGGAUCCGCGCUGCAUUAGCUAGUUGGUAAGGUAACGGCUUACCAAGGCAACGAUGCAUAGCCGACCUGAGAGGGUGAUCGGCCACACUGGAACUGAGACACGGUCCAGACUCCUACGGGAGGCAGCAGUAGGGAAUCUUCCGCAAUGGGCGAAAGCCUGACGGAGCAACGCCGCGUGAGUGAUGAAGGUCUUCGGAUCGUAAAACUCUGUUAUUAGGGAAGAACAUAUGUGUAAGUAACUGUGCACAUCUUGACGGUACCUAAUCAGAAAGCCACGGCUAACUACGUG